AUUAAUACUCUGAUUUCUUGUGACUAGCUAGUCAAUACCAUUACAAAUGAACCGGGUUCAUCCAAAAAGACACCUAUCAAUAGUAAAGUCAAGGCUCUAGUUCAGGAAAGUUAGGCCAAGGAUGCUGAGAUAGCUAGGACGAAGGCUCGUUCAGUAGAGGUUGAAUCUGAGAGGAUGCUCCCAGAACUGAGCAUACCAAGGAAAAGGAGAAGAAUGAUGGGAUCUUCAUAAUAUGUUGAAUAUUCUCUAAGCCCAAAAUCAACCCUCUAGCUACCUCAAGCCUUAGAAAUUCCAGCCUUUAUCUCCUGAACCUGUCUAGUACCAUCAG
Molecule: long non-coding RNA, 328 nt
Filed under: Nicotiana benthamiana
Lineage: Eukaryota; Viridiplantae; Streptophyta; Magnoliopsida; Solanales; Solanaceae
Description: long non-coding RNA (NBEN_LNC011310)
Source: RNAcentral